GACGAACGCUGGCGGCGUGCUUAACACAUGCAAGUCGAACGGAAAGGCCCUGCUUUUGUGGGGUGCUCGAGUGGCGAACGGGUGAGUAACACGUGAGUAACCUGCCCUUGACUUUGGGAUAACUUCAGGAAACUGGGGCUAAUACCGGAUAGGAGCUCCUGCUGCAUGGUGGGGGUUGGAAAGUUUCGGCGGUUGGGGAUGGACUCGCGGCUUAUCAGCUUGUUGGUGGGGUAGUGGCUUACCAAGGCUUUGACGGGUAGCCGGCCUGAGAGGGUGACCGGCCGCAUUGGGACUGAGAUACGGCCCAGACUCCUACGGGAGGCAGCAGUGGGGAAUAUUGCACAAUGGGCGGAAGCCUGAUGCAGCAACGCCGCGUGCGGGAUGACGGCCUUCGGGUUGUAAACCGCUUUCGCCUGUGACGAAGCGUGAGUGACGGUAAUGGGUAAAGAAGCACCGGCUAACUACGU
RNAcentral lists this ribosomal RNA (467 nucleotides) under uncultured bacterium. RNAcentral's name for it is "partial 16S ribosomal RNA". It matches the Rfam family "Bacterial small subunit ribosomal RNA", at positions 28 to 506 of the family's 1533-position model. The record is from RNAcentral.